This 1435-nucleotide ribosomal RNA is filed under the name uncultured organism. RNAcentral describes it as "partial small subunit ribosomal RNA". It matches the Rfam family "Bacterial small subunit ribosomal RNA". The record is from RNAcentral.
UGCUUAACACAUGCAAGUCGAACGGAAAGGCCCUUCUUUUGUGGGGUGCUCGAGUGGCGAACGGGUGAGUAACACGUGAGUAACCUGCCCUUGACUUUGGGAUAACUUCAGGAAACUGGGGCUAAUACCGGAUAGGAGCUCCUGCUGCAUGGUGGGGGUUGGAAAGUUUCGGCGGUUGGGGAUGGACUCGCGGCUUAUCAGCUUGUUGGUGGGGUAGUGGCUUACCAAGGCUUUGACGGGUAGCCGGCCUGAGAGGGUGACCGGCCACAUUGGGACUGAGAUACGGCCCAGACUCCUACGGGAGGCAGCAGUGGGGAAUAUUGCACAAUGGGCGGAAGCCUGAUGCAGCAACGCCGCGUGCGGGAUGACGGCCUUCGGGUUGUAAACCGCUUUCGCCUGUGACGAAGCGUGAGUGACGGUAAUGGGUAAAGAAGCACCGGCUAACUACGUGCCAGCAGCCGCGGUGAUACGUAGGGUGCGAGCGUUGUCCGGAUUUAUUGGGCGUAAAGGGCUCGUAGGUGGUUGAUCGCGUCGGAAGUGUAAUCUUGGGGCUUAACCCUGAGCGUGCUUUCGAUACGGGUUGACUUGAGGAAGGUAGGGGAGAAUGGAAUUCCUGGUGGAGCGGUGGAAUGCGCAGAUAUCAGGAGGAACACCAGUGGCGAAGGCGGUUCUCUGGGCCUUUCCUGACGCUGAGGAGCGAAAGCGUGGGGAGCGAACAGGCUUAGAUACCCUGGUAGUCCACGCUGUAAACGGUGGGUACUAGGUGUGGGGUCCAUUCCACGGGUUCCGUGCCGUAGCUAACGCUUUAAGUACCCCGCCUGGGGAGUACGGCCGCAAGGCUAAAACUCAAAGGAAUUGACGGGGCCCCGCACAAGCGGCGGAGCAUGCGGAUUAAUUCGAUGCAACGCGUAGAACCUUACCUGGGUUUGACAUGGAUCGGGAGUGCUCAGAGAUGGGUGUGCCUCUUUUGGGGUCGGUUCACAGGUGGUGCAUGGCUGUCGUCAGCUCGUGUCGUGAGAUGUUGGGUUAAGUCCCGCAACGAGCGCAACCCUUGUUCACUGUUGCCAGCACGUUAUGGUGGGGACUCAGUGGAGACCGCCGGGGUCAACUCGGAGGAAGGUGGGGAUGACGUCAAGUCAUCAUGCCCCUUAUGUCCAGGGCUUCACGCAUGCUACAAUGGCUGGUACAGAGAGUGGCGAGCCUGUGAGGGUGAGCGAAUCUCGGAAAGCCGGUCUCAGUUCGGAUUGGGGUCUGCAACUCGACCUCAUGAAGUCGGAGUCGCUAGUAAUCGCAGAUCAGCAACGCUGCGGUGAAUACGUUCCCGGGGCUUGUACACACCGCCCGUCAAGUCAUGAAAGUUGGUAACACCCGAAGCCGGUGGCCUAACCGUUGUGGGGGAGCCGUCGAAGGUGGGACUGGUGAUUAGGACUAAGUA